This 254-nucleotide ribosomal RNA is filed under the name uncultured bacterium. RNAcentral's name for it is "partial 16S ribosomal RNA". It matches the Rfam family "Bacterial small subunit ribosomal RNA", at positions 524 to 776 of the family's 1533-position model. The record is from RNAcentral.
UACAUAGGCAGCGAGCGUUGUUCGGAGUUACUGGGCGUAAAGGGUGUGUAGGCGGUUGUUUAAGUUUGGUGUGAAAUCUCCCGGCUCAACUGGGAGGGUGCGCCGAAUACUGAAUGACUUGGAGUGCGGGAGAGGAAAGUGGAAUUCCUGGUGUAGCGGUGAAAUGCGUAGAUAUCAGGAGGAACACCGGUGGUGUAGACGGCUUUCUGGACCGUAACUGACGCUGAGACACGAAAGCGUGGGUAGCAAACAGG